AUGUCUUCGUUUAAAUCUGGAUGAUUGACAGUUAUCAGAUGUAUUAAUAGUAUAGUGGUAACCAUAUUGAAUGUAUAACAUGAUAUAAUACUUAUGCUUACA
Haliotis rubra (blacklip abalone) is the source of this 102-nucleotide long non-coding RNA. RefSeq lists it as uncharacterized. The record is from RefSeq and is a predicted model, not a curated record. The transcript has 3 exons. Lineage: Eukaryota; Metazoa; Mollusca; Gastropoda; Lepetellida; Haliotidae.